CUCCGGUUGAUCCCGCCGGACCCGACUGCUAUCGGAUUGAGAUUUAGCCAUGCGAGUCGAACGUCCCCCUGUUGCGGGGGGCGUGGCGUACGGCUCAGUAACACGUAGUCAACCUGCCCUGGAGAUAAGGACAACCCCGGGAAACUGGGAUUAAUCCUUGAUAGGUCAUCUCAUCUGGAAGGAGAGAUGGCUUAAAGGGGUACGCGGGCUUCUUCCGCGAAUUCGCUCCAGGAUGGGACUGCGUCCGAUCAGGCUGUUGGCGGGGUAAUGGCCCACCAAACCUGUAACCGGUACGGGCCUUGAGAGAGGUGGCCCGGAGAUGGACACUGAGAGAAGGGUCCAGGUCCUACGGGGCGCAGCAGGCGCGAAACCUUCGCAAUGCGCGAAAGCGUGACGAGGUUAAUCCGAGUGACUCCCGCUUAGGGGGUCUUUUGUCAGCUGUAAAUAGGCAGGCGAAUAAGGGGAGGGCAAGCCUGGUGUCAGCCGCCGCGGUAAUACCAGCUCCUCGAGUGGUCGGGGCGAUUAUUGGGCCUAAAGCAUCCGUAGCCGGUUCCGUAGGUCCUCUGUUAAAUCCAACCGCUUAACGGUUGACCUGCAGAGGAUACCGCGGGACUAGGAGGCGGGAGAGGCGGACGGUACUCCGCGUGUAGGGGUAAAAUCCUUUGAUCCGCGGAAGACCACCAGUGGCGAAGGCGGUCCGCCAGAACGCGCUCGACGGUGAGGGAUGAAAGCUGGGGGAGCGAACCGGAUUAGAUACCCGGGUAGUCCCAGCCGUAAACGAUGCGAGCUAGAUGAUUCAUUCGCAAGUCGCGAAUGAAGUGUCGCAGGGAAGCCGUUAAGCUAGCCGCCUGGGGAGUACGGUCGCAAGACUGAAACUUAAAGGAAUUGGCGGGGGAGCA
This 899-nucleotide ribosomal RNA is filed under the name uncultured archaeon. RNAcentral's name for it is "bacterial SSU rRNA". It matches the Rfam family "Archaeal small subunit ribosomal RNA", at positions 1 to 878 of the family's 1478-position model. The record is from RNAcentral.